UGGUGGUGGUACACUGCAUUCUCAGAGCCAAGCAGGACUUUGUGCAACUUAAAAAGGGAGGCAGCAAGGUGACGUCCAACGCUCUUUCCCGCUCCAUAAAGAGUGAACAUUGUCUGAGGCAGCUGAGGGUACAGUCAGCAAUGGAACAAGAUGCCAUUGGUGUUUUGCUGCCACCUUCUACUUUGUGAGGACACAGCAAGAAGGCCCUCUCUGGACACCAGGGGUCAGCACCCUGAUCUUCCCAGCCUCCAGAACUAAGGAGGUCAGAAGAUCUAAGAAGACAUUGCUGAGCUUUCCCCAACAUAGGUCACAGGAUGCUCAGGUGAGAGAUGCUCUUCCAGUAUCCAGGAGAAAGGAUCAUCUUUAAAGAUACAAGGCACAGAGAGGAAUCCGAACAAAUAAGCCUGGCUAAGUUCACACCCCCUUGUCCCAUCUUUCCUCCAUCAAAACUGUGACAAGACACUCUUCAACUAUUCAGUAGUUUUGUCUUUUUUGUUGGGUUUUUAUUUCAUGAGGACAUCUUCCACGUUAUAUACAAUUUAUAUUAAAUAAAUAUUUUUGUUUUUCUCAUGUUAACAUGCCUUUUGUUAUAGGAGCCCUGACCAUGAACUAUGGAGGGUAGGAGGAAAAGGAUAUUUUGUCACUCUUACAACAUUAAUGUCAAAUACUCUAAAUACAUUUUAUAUAUUACAUAUUGAUGUGAGGAAGGCAAUAAAAAUGAUCCAAUUGUUCAUAAGAAGUCUUUUAAACUUCCUAUUUUAAGCAAGACCUUCUUGUUUAUCUUUUGUCUUUUUAUCUUAUAAAAUAUUAAGUAUUUUACUUCCCAUUCUAAAUAAGAGUUUUCUAUUGUUUUUUUAUUGUAUGUGAUACACUGUGUUUCAUUUUCAAGUUUCAUCAUUCCAUGCUUAAGUGUUCUUUCUCUUUGUUUAAUCAAUAAUAUUUUCUAUUGAUUUUGUCCUUUCUUCUCUAAGUUAUAAGAAAAGAAGGGUGGUUCACAGUUACUUCUACAUAAAACAUAACCAAAUACGUUAAGUAUAUUGUGGGGAGCAACCCGGACUGGACUGAGUUACUGGAAUUAAGACUUAUUCUAUGCAUCUGCUCUCCCACAAUGUGGCGCUGGGAGAGGAGCAAACAGCUUCUACCCAGCUGCCUCUCACCAACUUGACAAGCUGCAAGA
Non-coding RNA from Oryctolagus cuniculus (rabbit), 1177 nucleotides. NCBI's taxonomy places the organism in Eukaryota, Metazoa, Chordata, Mammalia, Lagomorpha, Leporidae. The record is from RefSeq and is a predicted model, not a curated record.